RNAcentral lists this ribosomal RNA (904 nucleotides) under Modestobacter sp. 14d2-CH09. Its description in RNAcentral is "SSU rRNA". It matches the Rfam family "Bacterial small subunit ribosomal RNA", at positions 556 to 1457 of the family's 1533-position model. Lineage: Bacteria; Bacillati; Actinomycetota; Actinomycetes; Geodermatophilales; Geodermatophilaceae. The record is from RNAcentral.
GGGCGUAAGAGCUCGUAGGCGGUCUGUCACGUCGGCUGUGAAAACCCGAGGCUCAACCCUCGGGCCUGCAGUCGAUACGGGCAAACUAGAGUACUGCAGGGGAGACUGGAAUUCCUGGUGUAGCGGUGAAAUGCGCAGAUAUCAGGAGGAACACCGGUGGCGAAGGCGGGUCUCUGGGCAGUAACUGACGCUGAGGAGCGAAAGCGUGGGGAGCGAACAGGAUUAGAUACCCUGGUAGUCCACGCCGUAAACGUUGGGCGCUAGGUGUGGGGGCCAUUCCACGGUCUCCGUGCCGCAGCUAACGCAUUAAGCGCCCCGCCUGGGGAGUACGGCCGCAAGGCUAAAACUCAAAGGAAUUGACGGGGGCCCGCACAAGCGGCGGAGCAUGUUGCUUAAUUCGAUGCAACGCGAAGAACCUUACCUAGGCUUGACAUGCACGGAAAUCUCGUAGAGAUACGGGGUGCCUUUGGCGUCGUGCACAGGUGGUGCAUGGUUGUCGUCAGCUCGUGUCGUGAGAUGUUGGGUUAAGUCCCGCAACGAGCGCAACCCUCGUUCUAUGUUGCCAGCACGUGAUGGUGGGGACUCAUAGGAGACUGCCGGGGUCAACUCGGAGGAAGGUGGGGAUGACGUCAAAUCAUCAUGCCCCUUAUGUCUAGGGCUGCAAACAUGCUACAAUGGCCGGUACAAAGGGCUGCGAUACCGCGAGGUGGAGCGAAUCCCAAAAAGCCGGUCUCAGUUCGGAUUGGGGUCUGCAACUCGACCCCAUGAAGUUGGAGUCGCUAGUAAUCGCAGAUCAGCAACGCUGCGGUGAAUACGUUCCCNGGNCCUUGUACACACCGCCCGUCACGUCACGAAAGUCGGUAACGCCCGAAGCCGGUGGCCCACCCUUGUGGAGGGAGCCGUC